Molecule: transfer RNA, 84 nt
Filed under: Microcaldota archaeon
Lineage: Archaea; Nanobdellati; Microcaldota
Description: Candidatus Micrarchaeota archaeon (hot springs metagenome) tRNA-Leu
Rfam family: tRNA
About the family: Transfer RNA (tRNA) molecules are approximately 80 nucleotides in length. Their secondary structure includes four short double-helical elements and three loops (D, anti-codon, and T loops). Further hydrogen bonds mediate the characteristic L-shaped molecular structure. tRNAs have two regions of fundamental functional importance: the anti-codon, which is responsible for specific mRNA codon recognition, and the 3' end, to which the tRNAs corresponding amino acid is attached (by aminoacyl-tRNA synthetases). tRNAs cope with the degeneracy of the genetic code in two manners: having more than one tRNA (with a specific anti-codon) for a particular amino acid; and 'wobble' base-pairing, i.e. permitting non-standard base-pairing at the 3rd anti-codon position.
Source: RNAcentral
GCAGGGGUAGCCAAGCGGUCAAAGGCGCAGGGUUUAGGACCCUGUCCCUUAGUGGGUUCAUGGGUUCAAAUCCCAUCCCCUGCA